ACGGGUGAGUAACACGUGGGUAAUCUUCCCUGGUGCGGGGGAUAACAUUCCGAAAGGAGUGCUAAUACCGCAUAAGACCACGGCUUCGAAAGGAGCUGAGGUAAAAGCAGGCCUCUUCACGAAAGCUUGCACACCAGGAUGAGCCCGCGGCCCAUCAGCUAGUUGGUAGGGUAAUGGCCUACCAAGGCAAAGACGGGUAGCUGGUCUGAGAGGAUGAUCAGCCACACUGGAACUGAGACACGGUCCAGACUCCUACGGGAGGCAGCAGUGGGGAAUCUUGCGCAAUGGGCGAAAGCCUGACGCAGCGACGCCGCGUGAGUGAUGAAGGCCUUCGGGUUGUAAAGCUCUGUGGGGAGAGACGAAUAAGUGUUGGCUAAUAUCCAGCAUGAUGACGGUAUCUCCUUAGCAAGCACCGGCUAACUCUGUGCCAGCAGCCGCGGUAAGACAGAGGGUGCAAACGUUGUUCGGAAUUACUGGGCGUAAAGCGUGUGUAGGCGGCCUUAUAAGUCGGAUGUGAAAGCCCAGGGCUCAACCCUGGAAGUGCACUCGAUACUGUAAGGCUCGAGUACUGGAGAGGUUGGUGGAAUUCU
RNAcentral lists this ribosomal RNA (590 nucleotides) under uncultured bacterium. Its description in RNAcentral is "bacterial SSU rRNA". It matches the Rfam family "Bacterial small subunit ribosomal RNA", at positions 102 to 670 of the family's 1533-position model. The record is from RNAcentral.